UACCUGCCGGACUACUGCUAUAUUGUCUAACCAGCGAUCGUUGUACAUACAAGCGGACUGCUCAUAACACAUAUUAACUUAACCUAUGGAUGGGCAUAACCUCGGGAAACUGAGAAUAAUACCAAUGGACCACAGUGCCUGGAAUGGCCUGUGGGUUGAAAUGAUUUAUCGCCGUAGGAUAGGACUGCGGCCUAUCAGCUUGUUGGUGAGGUAAUGGCCCACCAAGGCUAUAACAGGUACGGGCUCUGAGAGGAGGGGCCCGGAGAUGGGUACUGAGACACGGACCCAGGCCCUAUGGGGCGCAGCAGGCGAGAAACCUUUGCAAUGUGCGAAAGCACGACAAGGUUAAUCCGAGUGUCUCCUGCUAAAGGAGUCUUUUGUCAGUUGUAGAAUCACUGGUGAAUAAGGGGUGGGCAAGUUCUGGUGUCAGCCCAAAAAAACCCCCUAGGGCCCGCGGUAAAACCAGACACCUCGAAGUGGUCCAGGAGCGUCUAUUCGGGCCCUAAAGCAUCCCGUAGCCAGGUUUGCAUAAAGUUUAUCAGGUUCACAUCUAAUGCGCUUNAACG
RNAcentral lists this ribosomal RNA (566 nucleotides) under uncultured archaeon. RNAcentral describes it as "bacterial SSU rRNA". The stretch from base 1 to 485 matches the Rfam family "Archaeal small subunit ribosomal RNA", at positions 11 to 496 of the family's 1478-position model. The record is from RNAcentral.